UACGGAGGGUCCAAGCGUUAUCCGGAAUUAUUGGGCGUAAAGAGCUUGUAGGCGGUUUGUCGCGUCUGCUGUGAAAGCCCGGGGCUUAACUCCGGGUGUGCAGUGGGUACGGGCAGACUAGAGUGCAGUAGGGGAGACCGGAAUUCCUGGUGUAGCGGUGGAAUGCGCAGAUAUCAGGAGGAACACCGAUGGCGAAGGCAGGCCUCUGGGCCGUUACUGACACUGAGGAGCGAAAGCAUGGGGAGCGAACAGG
Molecule: unclassified non-coding RNA, 253 nt
Filed under: uncultured Micrococcaceae bacterium
Lineage: Bacteria; Bacillati; Actinomycetota; Actinomycetes; Micrococcales; Micrococcaceae
Description: contains 16S-23S intergenic spacer region
Rfam family: Bacterial small subunit ribosomal RNA
Source: RNAcentral